GAUGAACGCUAGCGGCAGGCCUAACACAUGCAAGUCGAGGGGUAACAUAGAAAAGCUUGCUUUUCUGAUGACGACCGGCGCACGGGUGCGUAACGCGUAUACAACCUACCUUUUAGCGGGGAAUAGCCCAGGGAAACUUGGAUUAAUGCCCCAUAGUAUAUAGACUUCUCCUGAAGUUUAUAUUAAACAUUUAUGGCUAUUAGAUGGGUAUGCGUCCUAUUAGUUAGUUGGUAAGGUAACGGCUUACCAAGGUAGCGAUAGGUAGGGGUCCUGAGAGGGAGAUCCCCACACUGGUACUGAGACACGGACCAGACUCCUACGGGAGGCAGCAGUGAGGAAUAUUGGACAAUGGGCGAGAGCCUGAUCCAGCCAUGCCGCGUGCAGGAAGACUGCCCUAUGGGUUGUAAACUGCUUUUACAGAGGAAGAACCACCCCCACGUGUGGGGGUUUGACGGUACUCUGCGAAUAAGGAUCGGCUAACUCCGUG
RNAcentral lists this ribosomal RNA (487 nucleotides) under uncultured bacterium. RNAcentral's name for it is "bacterial SSU rRNA". It matches the Rfam family "Bacterial small subunit ribosomal RNA", at positions 28 to 507 of the family's 1533-position model. The record is from RNAcentral.